GCCCAGUUCUCUAGCCACCUCAUAAUGGGUAUUAUCUGACGUCAUUGGCAAGUUGCUUUGCUAGAUUAUGCUGAAAUAAUUGAGGAAUCCUUACCUAUGCUAACCCUGAGAGGAAGAGCCAGAGAGGGAAGUCUCUGAGCUGUGAGCUACCCUGAUUCUACACUGGGAAGUUAGGGGUAGAAGCACACAGGAGCCCAGCACUUACAGCCAGUGGCCCUGGGGGUCUCCUCCAGCUCCACCUCAUGACACCCCGUGCUGCUGCGUGACUGCUCCUGGUGCCAAGGCCACCGCUGCCAUGAGUCUGAAUGGCUAAUGCUGAGAUUAGCAGGGCCUCCCUUCUACUGGCCUGUCCUCCUGGCUCUCCUCCCUUUUGCCUCUUCUGGAUUUCAGGGAGCUUUUCUGUGCCAAACCAGGAAUCACAGACAUGCAGGGGCAAGAGGGUCUACUCUAGCACGGAUUAAGACGACCUCCUAAAGCCAUCUUAUGCCCAAGUAAAUAAGUAUCCAAUAAACAGACAAUAUCUCAACAGAAAAACAGCACCCA
This 543-nucleotide long non-coding RNA is filed under the name Homo sapiens (human). RNAcentral describes it as "HSALNT0052652". Lineage: Eukaryota; Metazoa; Chordata; Mammalia; Primates; Hominidae. The record is from RNAcentral.